Long non-coding RNA from Drosophila suzukii, 298 nucleotides. RefSeq lists it as uncharacterized. Lineage: Eukaryota; Metazoa; Arthropoda; Insecta; Diptera; Drosophilidae. The record is from RefSeq and is a predicted model, not a curated record.
UAAGCAUUUAGUUGUCUCACUUCAGUCGAAAGCGAUAAACAUGAAAUUCAUUUUCUUUGUCUACAUUCUGAUUCCUAUUUUUAGUUCGGUCAUGGGAAAAGCGGUGUAUGAAUGUAGUCUUCCAAGAGGAUCGGGGUUGUGCGCGAGACUGAACCAUACUUUCGCUUACGAUCCAGUCAAAAAGAAGUGCAUUCCAUAUGCAUAUGGUGGCUGCUAUGGCUUCGGAGAUCAUUUUGAUUCUAUACAAGCCUGUGAAUCCGCAUGCAAAGGAAAAUAAAUUUACCUGGUUAAACUGAAA